GUGAGUGCAGGGAUUGGCUGGACAUGUGAUGCGAGUUGCUGUCUGUUCAUGUAACCAAGAGAAGUUUCAUAAUUUUGAAAUGGCUUGACAUUAUUACAGAUGUGUUGGCUGAAACUGGAAAUGAAAGGUGUAGGAGUGAGCCCGCUGCACGGACAGUGAGGAUGUGAGAGAACUAGCGUGUCGGACCAGUAUGUUCAUCAGCAGCACAUAGUAGGAUACAACGCACAAUAAAGAACCAUGGGUGCCAGGUUCUGGUUUAUUUUGGUUAUUGCCAAUGAAGUGGCUGCCUUCACACGUCCACACCAACCUCCACCAUGUGAAGUGGGUAAGUGAUUACUGAGUGACGAUUUUAGAUUUUUGUAACAAAAAACUGAAUAGACUGUUUUUUUAUGUUUUAAAUCUCAUCCACAGUUCUCACAUUAUAUUGUAAUAAGAUGCUUGCGUGUUUUUGAAAAAAUAACAACAGUUUGCAGAGCUUUGCCUUUGAGUGGUAAGAGAGUGGGCUUAGACUCUAUCCCCCGUAUUUGGAAGAACACUUUGAGCCACUGCGCCCAAAUGGAGUUGAUCAAAUGCUAAUGCCUUGGGCUGUGCCCCAAUUGGAAUGCCCUUACCGCCCGUGCGGAGCGUAUGCAUUUGAACAACAAAGUAUUAUAGACUGUACAAUACAUUUGGACUCUAUGCUAGCUGAGUCUGCUCUUCUCUAAAAUGCUAGCCAAAUAAAACAUAAAUGAUGUUCUAUGUGUAUUUUGUACCAAGCAGGAAAUCAUUUUGGUUGUAGCAAUUCAUUCAUGCCAGCAUAAAUAGAUACUGCUUUAAUGCUUAGUCAAGCUCUGCAAUUUUUUGCAAUUUCUCUGUAAUUACCUACAUUAAUCCACUCUGUGGUUUUUAAUUUAAAUCAUACACUAAGGA
Clupea harengus (Atlantic herring) is the source of this 909-nucleotide long non-coding RNA. The record is from Ensembl. Lineage: Eukaryota; Metazoa; Chordata; Actinopteri; Clupeiformes; Clupeidae.